This is a long non-coding RNA of Megachile rotundata (alfalfa leafcutting bee), 1941 nucleotides long. Lineage: Eukaryota; Metazoa; Arthropoda; Insecta; Hymenoptera; Megachilidae. The record is from RefSeq and is a predicted model, not a curated record.
GACGACAUUGUUUUUCGGGGGUCGAUCGGUUUUCGGGACAUCUGCUGGCGAGAAUGGGAAGCUACCGAUGCUUGUCUCUCCCGCGAGAAAUAACGAGGACAGCCACGUUUUUCGAACAAGUAUUUUAUCAAGCUCUUAUUUGCGAAAUAUUCCUCGAGUAAUUAUGCAGCUUUGUUAUUUGAUGCUAAAAGUUUCGUUUUUGAUAAAAUUAAAAAAAAAAAGAAAUGCACUUGACAACCUCAUUGCAUAAGUCUCACUUAACACUAACCUAACCAAAUUCGUGAAAUGAGUUUCAUACGUUCGUCAUUUCAAAUCACAUUUCUUCAGACACUUUUCUUGAAAUCUCUGUUAACUUUCACGGAGAUAAAGAACUAGCAUGUAUAUUAAGUUACGUUUCACCUUUUAUUUAUUUUUCAUUUUGAAGAAUGUGCACCGAUACGUUUAGUGUUAACAUGGCUGCAAAAUAACACAAAAGAAGAGCAUAGGGUGUAAGAGUUAUAAGUGCGUGUUAAAAGAGAGUUGUAUAAACAAAGAUUUGACAAAAUUCAUGAAAAGAAAAAGAAACCGGUUCCACGUUUUCAAUCGUAGUUACGUCAGGUAUUACCCAAUGAGAGAGAAGCUCUCGAUUGCACCCACUGCAGAAGCAAGCGUGUUGUACCAACCUUGCUUUAUCUUGUCCUCUCUUUCGCUAGGAUAUUACGUCUUAUGACUACAGCUGGAUAUAAACAUUGGCCUUCUGAACCGGACGAAUUUGAGAGAAGUCAAUCAUCGAGCUCAGCUUUCAAAGGAAUGUAUUUCACGUAUGUAUUCGUGUCGUCGUAUCCGAACACGGAUGCGUGUAAGCAACGAAGCAAAGGAGCGAUCCUCAACUUCGAAUUGCUUGCGCAAUGAUUCGAACUCGUAGCUCGGUAAGAGCGGAUGAACUUUUCCGUAUUGGGAAUGCUUAUGAAAUAAUCUAGCAGGAGGAUCGGCUGCUUAAAGUAACGAGUAAAGAGCUAGCGAAGUUGCGCAAAACCGUGGUCGAAGAUGAGAGGAAGACAGUAGGGACAGCUAUCUACGAAGAGGAUUCGUAGAAGAAAUUCUGUGGCGUAAUGUCGACCUCCGUUCUCUACUCCCUCCCGAUCGAGAUCGUUUCUCCUUUAUACCGUUGACGGAGAAGCCUCGAUUAUGUGCCACGGCGAGGAAACGAGAAGAAGAAAGGAGAAGAGACUGGGACAGGAUGGGAGAGGGUGAAGGGAAAAGAGUUAACCGAGAGUUCAUCGCUUAUUAUGUAAGCAACGAAAAUAGAAACAAUAUCUGCAGAGAUUUUGAGGUUAUGCAACUAUUUUGAUGAUAAUUAUAAAUUUUUGGUCGGCAGCCUAUAAACAACGCACCUCACCUUGCAUUACGCUUAUCAGUUCUGAAGGCCUCGUAUUUGUCUCUGGAGCUAGCGACACUACUUUAUAUUCCCCGAUAUAAAGAUAUCGAAAUAUAAUAUCCGAGUAUAUUUACCGUCGCAUCCAACACGUGCACAUCGGCUAUCAGGAACUCUACCGCAAAAUGCAAAUUUAUUUGGUGGUGUAAAAAAACGAGGAUAGUUGAUGGUGACCGUAUAUGCACAGUUCGGUACGCCUUGACCGUUUAUUUUGAAUUUGUUGCAAGUUCGAUGACCGACGACGAUGAACCACGGCCAUGAAGAAAGGCUGUGCCCGCAUAAGCAUUCCUCCAUACAUAUACGUGUAUCACAACUCAUAAAUACACGAUGUGCAUUCACAAUUUUUACCCGUUGAUCCCUUGUAUUUCAAUAUUCCCUUCCACCAUUUUACUUUUUCACCGCGUGCCUUUCAUUGUCUGCCAUUUUUGUCCAUAUAGGCAUGUAAAACUUCAGCUAAGGGAUCGUGAAGUAAUUACAAGAAAGGAGAAAUGUCAUUUAAAAUUAAAACAGAUUCUUUUCAUUGAGUU